UCCCUGGUGGCUCAGAGGUUAAAGCAUCUGCCUGCAAUGCAGGGAGACCUGGGUUCGAUCCCUGGGUCGGGAA
This 73-nucleotide transfer RNA is filed under the name Ovis aries (sheep). It matches the Rfam family "tRNA". Rfam says of the family: Transfer RNA (tRNA) molecules are approximately 80 nucleotides in length. Their secondary structure includes four short double-helical elements and three loops (D, anti-codon, and T loops). Lineage: Eukaryota; Metazoa; Chordata; Mammalia; Artiodactyla; Bovidae. The record is from Rfam by way of RNAcentral.